This 370-nucleotide ribosomal RNA is filed under the name uncultured bacterium. Its description in RNAcentral is "bacterial SSU rRNA". It matches the Rfam family "Bacterial small subunit ribosomal RNA", at positions 527 to 896 of the family's 1533-position model. The record is from RNAcentral.
GAAGGGGGCUAGCGUUGCUCGGAUUUACUGGGCGUAAAGGGCGCGUAGGCGGCCUGGUUUGUCCGGCGCGAAAUCCCAGGGCUCAACCCCGGGGCUGCGCUGGAGACGGCUGGGCUGGAGGCGAGGAGAGGGUCGCGGAAUUCCCAGUGUAGAGGUGAAAUUCGUAGAUAUUGGGAAGAACACCGGUGGCGAAGGCGGCGACCUGGCCUUGAUCUGACGCUGAGGCGCGACAGCGUGGGGAGCAAACAGGAUUAGAUACCCUGGUAGUCCACGCCGUAAACGAUGUGCGCUGGAUGUUGGGCGGCCUAGCCGCUCAGUAUCGCAGCCAACGCGGUAAGCGCACCGCCUGGGGAGUACGGCCGCAAGGUUG